This 110-nucleotide ribosomal RNA is filed under the name Flavobacteriaceae bacterium. Lineage: Bacteria; Pseudomonadati; Bacteroidota; Flavobacteriia; Flavobacteriales; Flavobacteriaceae. The record is from RNAcentral.
UAAGGUGGCUAUAGCAAUGGGGCUCACCUCUUCCCAUCCCGAACAGAGAAGUUAAGCCCAUUAGCGCCGAUGGUACUGCCCUCCGGUGGGAGAGUAGGUCGCCGCCUUCU